Molecule: ribosomal RNA, 253 nt
Filed under: uncultured bacterium
Lineage: Bacteria
Description: partial 16S ribosomal RNA
Rfam family: Bacterial small subunit ribosomal RNA
Source: RNAcentral
GACAGAGGGUGCAAACGUUGCUCGGAAUUACUGGGCGUAAAGCGCGUGUAGGCGGACUGGUAAGUCGGACGUGAAAUCCCUGGGCUCAACCCAGGAACUGCAUCCGAAACUAUCAGUCUGGAGUGGUGGAGAGGGAAGCAGAAUUCCUGGUGUAGAGGUGAAAUUCGUAGAUAUCAGGAGGAACACCGGUGGCGAAGGCGGCUUCCUGGACACUAACUGACGCUGAGACGCGAAAGCGUGGGGAGCGAACAGG